RNAcentral lists this ribosomal RNA (458 nucleotides) under uncultured bacterium. RNAcentral describes it as "partial 16S ribosomal RNA". It matches the Rfam family "Bacterial small subunit ribosomal RNA", at positions 338 to 795 of the family's 1533-position model. The record is from RNAcentral.
CCUACGGGUGGCAGCAGUGGGGAAUAUUGGGCAAUGGACGCAAGUCUGACCCAGCAACGCCGCGUGAAGGAAGAAGGCUUUCGGGUUGUAAACCUCUUUUAUAAGGGAAGAAUAAAUGCUACGUGUAGCAUGAUGCCUGUACCUUAUGAAUAAGCAUCGGCUAACUCCGUGCCAGCAGCCGCGGUAAUACGGAGGAUGCGAGCGUUAUCCGGAUUUAUUGGGUUUAAAGGGUGCGUAGGCGGUUUUUUAAGUUAGUGGUUAAACGUCGGGGCUUCACCUUGAUUUGCCAUUAAUACUGUAAGACUCGAGUUCAGACGAGGUAGGCGGAAUAAGUUAAGUAGCGGUGAAAUGCUUAGAUAUAACUUAGAACUCCGAUAGCGAAGGCAGCUUACCAGACUGCGACUGACGCUGAAGCACGAGAGCGUGGGUAGCGAACAGGAUUAGAUACCCCUGUAGUC